Molecule: long non-coding RNA, 231 nt
Filed under: Capsicum annuum
Lineage: Eukaryota; Viridiplantae; Streptophyta; Magnoliopsida; Solanales; Solanaceae
Description: long non-coding RNA (CANN_LNC009284)
Source: RNAcentral
CAAAAAUAGUCCACAAGCUAGCCAAACCUGAGAGCAUAAUGACAAUAAGUCUCGGAUCCAACAUCUUCAUUUUAACCCUCGGCUUCCUCUCCCUCUUAAGAUUGGCCUUCAAUCUCAUCCGACUCAAGUCUCCUUCUAUCAUAUAAGCAUCGUCGUAGACUCCAUAUCCUUCAUGUCUCUCUCUACCAUGUUCCUCUUCUUGGAUAUGUCAGUUUUUGGAAAGGGAAGUUU